Long non-coding RNA from Haliotis rufescens (red abalone), 6357 nucleotides. RefSeq lists it as uncharacterized. The record is from RefSeq and is a predicted model, not a curated record. NCBI's taxonomy places the organism in Eukaryota, Metazoa, Mollusca, Gastropoda, Lepetellida, Haliotidae. The transcript has 2 exons.
CUUGACUUUUAUAGUCAGUUAACUCACUUGCCUCGGGAAGAUGAAUGGGAAUAUGAUGUUUGAUUUAAAAUAUGUUUUGUCCUCUUUUGUUUGCAUUUUGUAAAUGUUUUUGUCUCAAGGUUUGUUUCAGGAAAUUAAUACAUCAAACCUGAUGGAAAAAAAAUCCAUUAUUUUACUUCCAGAUUCUUGGUAUAUUGAUAGAAAACAAAUUGGCCUGGCCUAGGUAUAUAAGCUCAGUCUGUUAUAUAUUAUUAAUAUGGCACUAUUGCAUCUAUAUUGUUUUGUCGUAACAUGUUAUAUUAUGUGGGGACCAUUUUCAUAUUAUUGCCUGACUAGUUCUCCUUGUUUAAAGCUUUCUAUGCUACUCAAAAGAAAUUAAAGAACACUGGAUUCUUUCACAUUACUAUAGUUAAUUUGUCAUGACAUGACAGACUUACUGUAGUAUAAAAUAAGCACUUCCUUAACUUCUUUUGAGUAGAAAGUAAUCAGAUUACAACGAAACUGACAAAUGACAGAUUUGGAGAGUGAUUCCUUCUGCACAUUUUUAAAAAAAAAGUUUGUGUGGUUUUUUUCUAAAGCUUGUCACCAUAUGAAGGAACAUGAAUCCUGCCUCCCACUUCACUGGUCCAUCCAGCAUUAUGUUCUGUAUAGAGGAGCCAAUCUGGAGACACGCACGCACUAUCUCGAGAGUUUUAUUUUACUGGUUGUGAAUGGGUAUUAUUUCAGUAGGAUAGAUGUUUAUUAUGAAGUUAUGAGGAGUGAUUGUUCAUCUUGGAAUGGUCUUUUGUAUAGGGAGGUCGCCUUUGUGGAUUGGGGCGUUGCCUCUGUGGAUAGAGGAGGUGCCUUUUGUAAAUUGGAAUGUCGCCUUUGUGGAUAAGGACGGUGCCCCUGUAUAUUGGGAUGUUGCCUUUGUGUAUGGGGAAGGCAUCUUUCUACUGUAAGAGUCCCGCUGUAUGAGAAUGGCAUUUUUGUACAGGCUUGUGUCUUGGUAUUUGGAGAAAGUCUUUUUGUACAAGUGAGGGUCUUUAUGUACAGGUGAAGGUUCAUUGUACGCACAUGGCCUCCGUGGCACUAAGGAUGGUCUCGGUACUGUUUCCUGAAUGGGGACUAUUUGUUCGUGGACAGUCGUACCGUACCCUGCUACUCAGGGUCCACCUCUGCUGUACAUCUGUUGGACACGUAUUGAUGGCAGCUCACCAAGUACCUUACUUCACUUCUCAGGCUACAGAAAGUGUACAUGCAGGUAGAUUUAGCUCUAAUUUGUGGUGAUAUUUGAACAUCGAUGAGCACAACCUCGAGACACUUCUAUCAGGGACAUGAGACUCUCCCUGUUGUCUCCUCGAACUGUUGCUGCACGCACACCUGAUACUGGUCUUGCUCCGUACAUUGGCAGUACCUUCAUGUUCUUAUUUGUAGUGGAUGCGGUGUUUUAUUUUGGAAGCUUCAAAUUGCCUGGUUUGGUAGGCAUGUGUUUCAUGACUACUCAAUAAGAGAACGCCUGAUUCUUUCAUAUUAUAGCCAAAAUCAGACCCUGGGUCAGAACAGAGCAUGGCCAUGUGCCGAUCCAUCGAACUCAAAUGGAUCUAACCUCAUCUCGCUUUACGUCAUAGUAAAAAAAAUCGUGGCAUGACAGUGUGUUUGUUGUUUAACGCCACACUCUGCAAUAUUUCAUCUAUAUGACGGCGGUCUGAAAUAUAAUUGAGUCUGGACCAGACAAUCCAGUGAUUGACAUCGUGAGCAUCGAUCCACGCAAUUGGGAUCGAUGACAUGCAUUAACAAAGUCAACAAACUUGACCUACCGAUCCCGUUAGUCGCCUCUUACGACAAGCAUAGUUGCCUUUUAAGGCAAGCAUUCUACUCCGGGUCGGAGAGAUAAGCUAUAGUAAUAUGAAAGAAUUUGGUGUUCUUUAACUUCUUUUGAGUAGUAUAUUAUGUAUGCUUCACAAGCUAUGGUAAAGUCUUUAAUCUAUGUCAAGUUUAUGUCACUUUGCGUCGUCUACAGGGACGCAGUGGAAAUGCGAUAAGUCUUGAAACUUUUGUUUUUUUCUUUUCUUUGAGGUUGGUUAAUUUGGCAGAUUCACCUGGGUUUGUCCCAUGGUGUCAUUAUUAUUUGUAUAAGUCAAGGAACCAACAGCAGGUUAUUGUUUCACGACAUUAAUGAUAAGUUAUGCAUAUUCUCUCAAUCACAUUUCAUCUACUCCUUUCUUUUACAUAUUUGAUUUUGUGUGUGUGUUAAAGCCGAAAUUUUGUGUGUUUUUUUGUCACCUGUUGAUUUAUUUGUUGGAGAUGAGGCUUGGACAGGAACACCUCACAGUGUUGGCUUGUGAUGAGGGACACCAUGGAAGCCAUCUCACACAGCUGAUCAGUCUGGACACUGACUCGGUGACUAAAUAGUUGAUCACUGUAUUCUUCGUACAAUAUUAGAGUGGUGGUUAGUCUAUACUGUUGUUUAUGUGUGUUAGCAAUCUUAACCAGAGUAACGAUUCUGUGACAUUACAUCAACGCAGUAUAUUACUGUACACCAAGGUCCUGAAACAAGAUCCUCAAUUUCUAUUUCAAUUUCAAUUUGACGGCAUUAGGACAAUGUGUGUGACAGACUCACGUAUGUCACAUCGUGUGGCAGUGGAGUAGCCAGGUGGUAGAGGAAGUGGUCGAUUUCCCACAUUGGCACAUUACCCAUUCAAACAUUAUAAUAUUUUUUCAUCUUGUGACAAUGAAGAAUGAGGUCGUCCCAGUUAUUGGACACAAUGACUGGUUGGGCAGUCAGUGUCGGAACUGAACAGUGUUAAGAUCUGAAACCGUCAAUGAUUGUUUUAUGGUGUCACUGAUGAGUGUAUAUAUUUCUUGUAUUACUGCUAUGCAGCGGCCAUUAUUAUCCUGCGGGCAUGACAGUUCAAAAUGGAAAAGUGUCCAGUUUUUAUAAAACUCAUCACAGAAGCAACAAGGCAGACUGUCAUAUCUGGGAAUGACAAUGACCGUUACCAUUUAUAAGCAGAUAUUGUCCUCAUAUUUCCUGCCAUGUACAUAUAUUUACAUUUGCUAUGAUACAAACAUGUAAAUAUCUAUUUGAAAGCAUUGGAAAGUAUGUAAGGGAGACAACUCAGGUGUUAUCGAUUUGACUGGAAACCUGCAUUAGAGAUGAGAUUUAGAUCUAGCCUGGGCAUCUAGUACAAGCUUCUUCAUCGCCUACAGGUAUUUGUGUUGCUGUGAACAUAUCUGUUGGUCAGUGUUAUUUAUGAAAGUGUUUGUAGAUCUUUCCUGAAAAAUGAUCAUGGACAAAUGACUGAUAGUUUAAAUGCUGUUUAGACAGAAUAUUGAAAACAUAUAGUCUGUUUACAGAAGAUAACAUAAAGCAGUACUGGUACCUGAGUGUUUCAUCAUUGCUGUUCAUAUCAUGUGCCAAUGUAUGUCAUUUACAAUAUCAAAUAUUCUGCAUAUCCCCCCAAAUAUUGGAAGAUAUUAUUAUUUACUUAUAUAUGUAUUGAAGAUAAUUUCUAUAUACACACAUAUUUACACAACUUUAUGAGCCGAUGUAUGGUUUAGAUCUUCAGUGAUAUUGCCUCUUCCUGAUACUCCCAUCCAUAUGGACCUAUUGCCUGGUGUGUACUCUAGUCAUUAUCUAGCCAUGAUCUAGUCACAUGGUGGAUGUACUUGUUGCAGAGGGGUGUGUGCUCUAGUCAUUAUCUAGCCAUGAUCUAGUCACAUGGUGGAUGUACUUGUUGCAGAGGGGUGUGUGCUCUAGUCGUUUUCUAGUCAUGAUCUAGUCACAUGGUGGAUGUACUUGUUGCAGAGGGGUGUGUGCUCUAGUCAUUUUCAAGCCAUGAUCUAGUCACAUGGUGGAUGUAACCUUUGCAUGAAUGGAGUAUAUUUCCUCUUCCAACGACUUUGAAACAUUUGGAACCCGAUCAUCAGAUGUUCUGUAUAUCCUCUGUCAAGGGCCGGGUCUAGGGUUAAGGUCUUGAAAACUGAGCUUGGCCCUAAGGGACGGAUCGGUAACUUGUUGAUCAUUUUUUCUUCCCUUUGCAUUUAAAUAUCAAUGAACUGGCUAACCUCUAAGAUGGGCCUUUAAUAUGGCCCGGGUCCUAAAGUAUGCCAGGGCCCAAGGUCUCAAUAGAGGAAAUGUGGUACAUGGUAUUGAUGGGCUUUCAAAUAUAUAUAACAAAAUCAAAUUUGUGCACACGAAGUUCUAUGGAGUAUUUGCACUGACUUCUUUGGGUUCUAUUGAUGCAAUUGCUGUUCCAGGCAAAUCUACAAUCAUGUUCUCGUCCCCAUUUUAAGAAUUUUCUUUUUGAUGGAGACUUUUUUUCAAAAUGUGUUACACCUUUGUCUAUUCACUUUCCUAGUCACUACGUAUUUAUUUGUAUACACUCUUCACAUAGGAAUAAUACAACUAUAUGACACUAACCUAGUAUAUACAUUUCUCACUAAUGGCAUACAGGUCUAAGAUAUACUUCAUGGCACCAAUUGGAUUACAACCCAACUGUCCAUUGUAGUCCCGAUCGAUGCAACUGUGUAUGAGUGCCAUUGUGUAUUUGAAAUGCUGUCGUUAGCAACACUAUCAUUGUCUUGACAAGAUUGAUGUGUAAGUGGGAGCUGUCAGUAGCAACACUGUCAUUGUGUCAUGACAAGGUUGAUGGUGGGAGCUGUCGGUGGCAACACUAUCAUUGUGUCAUGACAAGGUUGAUGGUGGUAGCUGUCGGUGGCAACACUGUCAUUGUGUCAUGACUAGGUUGAUGGUGGGAGUUGUCGGUGGCAACACUAUCAUUGUGUCAUGACAAGGUUGAUGGUGGGAGCUGUCGGUGGCAACACUAUCAUUGUGUCAUGACAAGGUUGAUGGUGGUAGCUGUCGGUGGCAACACUGUCAUUGUGUCAUGACUAGGUUGAUGGUGGGAGUUGUCGGUGGCAACACUAUAUUGUGUCAUGACAAGGUUGAUGUGUAUGUGUGAGCUGUAGUCAGAAGUAUCCUGUGAGGAAUAAGUAUGUGUUUUUGCCAGCGCGUGCCUUGCCAUACCUAGUCACAUGUGUGGGUGUCUGCAGCUGAGUAACGAUGUCGUAUCUGUAGCUGUUUGAGAUGUUGAAUGUUGAUAUUGUCAGCAAGAAGAUGUUUGUUAUGAAAGUUUAGAUCACUGUGAACUUACAGCUACUGCAAACAAUGAGCUUUGGCCUAAAGCCUUUGGCAUGAGAUAAGAAUGAGCUUGUACCAUAUUUCUAGUUUAAAAUAUCACUUUUGUUAGUUACACCAGGGAUAACUGUAAGAAUAUCUGUUGAUGCAUGGAAGUAUGCCACUGGGAUUUUUGUUUGAUCAACUGACGCUGGUGUUAUUUUAAAAAUGUAAUUCAGAAGAAACCCUGUCCCUUAUGAUCAUUUGAAAUUUGCCAUAGGCACUCUUAAUAAGGGGAUGUAACUCUUUGUAUAAGGGAGAUAAUUCUCACACGAGGCAAAAUACCAGGUCAGUUAUCUACUUAGUUUUAUUACCUCAUAUCCACCAUGUCAACUUGAGAAUGUCAUACCCUGCAUUUGUACACAGUAGUAGUUAACUUCUCUUUAAAUGUUAGGCAAGACUCUCUUUGUUAAUGGAUUACUCCAACACCCCAAAAAUGAUCAGCAAAAACAAUAGAAUAUAUGUUUUCUGCCAAUUGCAAACUGUUCCAUCAUAAAUACGUUAUUCAUAUGAUAGUUUAAACAGCAUCAGCGAGAUAAGCUUAAGUACAUUUGUUUAUUGGUGGUUGUUUUUUCCCCGCCUACCCACCAGGACUUUUUCUAAAAAUUAUCUGUAGACCAAAGUCACCUUAUAGAAAGAUGUGAAUUGUUAGAUGAUGCUGCGGCCAUGGUGUGCUCAUGGCUGUCAUUUAAGACUUGUUAGUUAGUUUGGCCAGAAAAUGAUCCUAGGGACGUAUUGUCAGCAAGAUUCAGUGUCACAGGGGAACACCGUAGGACACUUGCUUUACCUCAAAUCUGCCAUGGAGAACACAGACUUCUCAACUGAGAGUGGGUUCACCACAUUAAUCAAAACUGUAUGUUUAAUCAAAUUGAUUUGUGUUAAAUGAUGGAUCAGACACAUGUUCAAAUUAUAUAUAUACUGCUCAAUAGAAGUUAAGGACCACUCCAUUUUUCCUAUGACUAUAUAUAGUCAAUCGGUCAUGGCUGGUGGGUAUUGCAACACAGCCUUCCCAUCAUGGGUGUUCUUUAACUUGUUUUGAGUAGUAUAUUUCUCUUAUUCUCAGUGGCAGAUUUCUAAUACAGUGCUCUUACCCUUCAUUUUGUUGAAGUAGUCUUUAUGACUGCAGUGAAUGUGAAUCUAUGUGAUGUUAACUUGUAUCAGGUCUGUUGUUGCAAUAAACAUGAUAGUUUCUGGAA